This 467-nucleotide ribosomal RNA is filed under the name uncultured bacterium. RNAcentral describes it as "partial 16S ribosomal RNA". It matches the Rfam family "Bacterial small subunit ribosomal RNA", at positions 28 to 507 of the family's 1533-position model. The record is from RNAcentral.
GACGAACGCUGGCGGCGUGCUUAACACAUGCAAGUCGAACGGAAAGGCUCCAGCUUGCUGGAGUACUCGAGUGGCGAACGGGUGAGUAACACGUGGGUAAUCUGCCCUGCACUCUGGGAUAAGCCUGGGAAACUGGGUCUAAUACUGGAUAUGACCUUUCUCCUUAUGGGGUUUGGUGGAAAGUUUUUCGGUGUAGGAUGAGCCCGCGGCCUACCAGCUUGUUGGUGGGGUGAUGGCCUACCAAGGCGACGACGGGUAGCCGGCCUGAGAGGGUGAUCGGCCACAUUGGGACUGAGAUACGGCCCAGACUCCUACGGGAGGCAGCAGUGGGGAAUAUUGCACAAUGGGCGGAAGCCUGAUGCAGCGACGCCGCGUGAGGGAUGACGGCCUUCGGGUUGUAAACCUCUUUCAGCAGGGACGAAGCGUAAGUGACGGUACCUGCAGAAGAAGCACCGGCUAACUAUGUG